CGCCCAACAGCUAGCCCACACCCACCCCCCAACAAAUAACUAUUAAUACCCCUUAAUAACCUCAAGAAAGACCAAACAAACCAUUUUUCCCCCUUAGUAUGGGCGACAGAAAAGGAUCCAGGAGCAACAGAAAAAGUACCGCAAGGGAAAGCUGAAAAAGAAAUGAAAUAACCCAUUCAAGCCUAAAAAAGCAGAGAUUUAACCUCGUACCUUUUGCAUCAUGAUUUAGCUAGUACCCUUAAGCAAAGAGCCCUUUAGUUUAACACCCCGAAACUGAGCGAGCUACUCCAAGACAGCCUAUCCAGGGCAAACCCGUCUCUGUGGCAAAAGAGUGGGAAGAUCUUCGAGUAGAGGUGACAGACCUACCGAGCCCAGUAAUAGCUGGUUGCCUAAGAAAUGAAUAGAAGUUCAGCCUCCGGGAUUCCCAACCCAAACCAGUCUCACCCGACUUGGCCCCAGGAAGCCCAGAGAGUUAGUCAAAAGAGGUACAGCUCUUUUGAAACAAGACACAACUUUACCAGGCGGAUAAAGAUCAAAAUAAUAAAGGAAAAAUGUUUCGGUGGGCCUAAAAGCAGCCAUCCUAGCAGAAAGCGUUAAAGCUCAAACAUACUUAUAUCCCCUUAUCCUGAUAACCAAUCUUAAACCCCUGACCCAGUAUUAGGCCUCCUCAUGCAACCAUGAGAGAGUUAAUGCUAAAAUGAGUAAUAAGAGGGAAGCCCCUCUCCUUGCACACGUGUACAUCGGAACGGACUACCCACCGAUAAAUAAACGGCCCCAAACAAAGAGGGAAAUGAACAAUAAAACAUAAACUAGAAAAACACUCAACAAAAACCGUUAACCCCACACUGGUGUGCAACAAGGAAAGACUAAAAGAAAAAGAAGGAACUCGGCAAACCCAGGCCUCGCCUGUUUACCAAAAACAUCGCCUCUUGCAAAAACAACAAAUAAGAGGUCCCGCCUGCCCUGUGACUAUAUGUUUAACGGCCGCGGUAUUUUGACCGUGCGAAGGUAGCGCAAUCACUUGUCUUUUAAAUGAAGACCUGUAUGAAUGGCACGACGAGGGCCUAGCUGUCUCCUUUUUCAGGUCAAUGAAAUUGAUCUUCCCGUGCAGAAGCGGGAAUAACUAUAUAAGACGAGAAGACCCUAUGGAGCUUCAGACACAAAGCAGCCCACGUUAAUAACCUCCAAACAAGGAACUAAACUAAGUGAUAUCCUGCCAGAAUGUCUUUGGUUGGGGCGACCGCGGGGAAAAACCAAACCCCCAUGUGGAAAAGGAGGACUCCUCCUACAACCAAGAGCCACUGCUCUAAGUAACAGAAUUUCUGACCAAAAUGAUCCGGCAAUGCCGAUCAACGGACCGAGUUACCCUAGGGAUAACAGCGCAAUCCUCUUCCAGAGCCCAUAUCGACAAGGGGGUUUACGACCUCGAUGUUGGAUCAGGACAUCCUAAUGGUGCAGCCGCUAUUAAGGGUUCGUUUGUUCAACGAUUAAAGUCCUACGUGAUCUGAGUUCAGACCGGAGUAAUCCAGGUCAGUUUCUAUCUAUAAUAUGAUCUUUUCUAGUACGAAAGGACCGAAAAGAAGAGGCCCAUACUAAAAGCACGCCUCACCCCCACCUAAUGAAAACAACUAAAAUAGGCAAGAGGGCAUGCCCCUUAAGCCUAAGAAAAUGGCAU
RNAcentral lists this ribosomal RNA (1675 nucleotides) under Anoplogaster cornuta (common fangtooth). RNAcentral describes it as "16S ribosomal RNA". The stretch from base 97 to 1595 matches the Rfam family "Bacterial large subunit ribosomal RNA". The record is from RNAcentral. Lineage: Eukaryota; Metazoa; Chordata; Actinopteri; Trachichthyiformes; Anoplogasteridae.